ACACGUGGGUAACCUGCCUUAUAGUGGGGGAUAGCCUUUCGAAAGGAAGAUUAAUACCGCAUAAGAUUGUGUAUCGCAUGAUAUAGCAAUUAAAGGAGCAAUUCGCUAUAAGAUGGACCCGCGUCGCAUUAGCUAGUUGGUGAGGUAAUGGCUCACCAAGGCGACGAUGCGUAGCCGACCUGAGAGGGUGAUCGGCCACAUUGGGACUGAGACGCGGCCCAGACUCCUACGGGAGGCAGCAUG
This 243-nucleotide ribosomal RNA is filed under the name uncultured bacterium. RNAcentral's name for it is "partial 16S ribosomal RNA". It matches the Rfam family "Bacterial small subunit ribosomal RNA", at positions 113 to 353 of the family's 1533-position model. The record is from RNAcentral.